RNAcentral lists this ribosomal RNA (522 nucleotides) under Hanseniaspora sp. RNAcentral describes it as "eukaryotic LSU rRNA". It matches the Rfam family "Eukaryotic large subunit ribosomal RNA", at positions 53 to 574 of the family's 3401-position model. Lineage: Eukaryota; Fungi; Ascomycota; Saccharomycetes; Saccharomycodales; Saccharomycodaceae. The record is from RNAcentral.
GAGGAAAAGAAACCAACUGGGAUUACCUUAGUAACGGCGAGUGAAGCGGUAAAAGCUCAAAUUUGAAAUCUGGUACUUUCAGUGCCCGAGUUGUAAUUUGUAGAAUUUGUCUUUGAUUAGGUCCUUGUCUAUGUUCCUUGGAACAGGACGUCAUAGAGGGUGAGAAUCCCGUUUGGCGAGGAUACCUUUUCUCUGUAAGACUUUUUCGAAGAGUCGAGUUGUUUGGGAAUGCAGCUCAAAGUGGGUGGUAAAUUCCAUCUAAAGCUAAAUAUUGGCGAGAGACCGAUAGCGAACAAGUACAGUGAUGGAAAGAUGAAAAGAACUUUGAAAAGAGAGUGAAAAAGUACGUGAAAUUGUUGAAAGGGAAGGGCAUUUGAUCAGACAUGGUGUUUUUUGCAUGCACUCGCCUCUCGUGGGCUUGGGCCUCUCAAAAAUUUCACUGGGCCAACAUCAAUUCUGGCAGCAGGAUAAAUCAUUAAGAAUGUAGCUACUUCGGUAGUGUUAUAGCUUUUUGGAAUACUG